CUCGACAUAGCUCAGUUGGAAGAGCGCGGGACUGUAAUGGAUAAUAUCGUUAUCCUGAGGUCGCUGGUUCGAUCCCGGCUGUCGAGA
Plicaturopsis crispa FD-325 SS-3 is the source of this 87-nucleotide transfer RNA. It matches the Rfam family "tRNA". From Rfam's summary of the family: Transfer RNA (tRNA) molecules are approximately 80 nucleotides in length. Their secondary structure includes four short double-helical elements and three loops (D, anti-codon, and T loops). The record is from Rfam. NCBI's taxonomy places the organism in Eukaryota, Fungi, Basidiomycota, Agaricomycetes, Amylocorticiales, Amylocorticiaceae.